UUUAGUGCUCUAUGCAUGCGCCGCAAGAUUUGAUGUGACGGAAAAUCUUGAAUUUUUUUUUUGUUUUUUGGGUGAACUAAACAAGGCCGAGAUGUAUACGCCAAAACGAUAUUUUUGGGGAACGAAGGAAGUAGUCGGGAAGUGUUCGGAUCUCACAGUCACAGCUACAGGACAUUUGUGAUGAUGAUGGGGGUUAAACACGAGGUAAUAAAAGUUUUUCUGACGGAACUGGAAGGGCGUGAGCCCCUGCAGGAAUUUUUAUAUAAAAUAAAGGAGUUCGGAACAGUUACAGUUAAAAAAAAGUGGGAAGGGGAUUAACGAGGUAAUAAAAGUAAUUAGCUCUUUUUAAUAAUAAAAUCUACUCCGUAUAAAGUUGUGGGCCGUGCCGAAGAGCAUAUGACGGCGACGAGGCAGCCACGAUCCCUGAUCCACCCCAUAGCGCAUGGCAUAUGUCAUGCUGUUGCCUCUCCGUUCCGUCCUACCUGUUCUGUCGUGUUGUUGUCCGAUUCCGACCCUCGACGUACGUACUGUACUGUACUCCAGUUGAACCGCCGCAGGGAGCACGGACAGUGAUAGCCGUUACACUGCACCGUGGACGGG
This 600-nucleotide long non-coding RNA is filed under the name Sorghum bicolor (sorghum). RNAcentral describes it as "long non-coding RNA (SBIC_LNC018338)". Lineage: Eukaryota; Viridiplantae; Streptophyta; Magnoliopsida; Poales; Poaceae. The record is from RNAcentral.